RNAcentral lists this ribosomal RNA (253 nucleotides) under uncultured bacterium. Its description in RNAcentral is "partial 16S ribosomal RNA". It matches the Rfam family "Bacterial small subunit ribosomal RNA", at positions 524 to 776 of the family's 1533-position model. The record is from RNAcentral.
UACGGAGGGGGCUAGCGUUGUUCGGAAUUACUGGGCGUAAAGCGCACGUAGGCGGAUUGGAAAGUCAGAGGUGAAAUCCCAGGGCUCAACCUUGGAACUGCCUUUGAAACUCCCAGUCUUGAGUUCGAGAGAGGUGAGUGGAAUUCCGAGUGUAGAGGUGAAAUUCGUAGAUAUUCGGAGGAACACCAGUGGCGAAGGCGGCUCACUGGCUCGAUACUGACGCUGAGGUGCGAAAGCGUGGGGAGCAAACAGG